UCAUAAAAAUAAUUCUGACUUAUCCUCCAGUUUUCAUAAUUUUCUGACACUGUGCAUUUUCUGCUAAUUUAUCUGCCCCGUUUCAUACAGAAAAUUCUAAAUAUUCUGUUUUCGCUCCGAUUUCAGCACAGGUCAUUUCCAACUUAUAUUUCACUUCUCUAAAUCCAAUAAAAAUAGUAUCUCAUACUAUUUUUAUUUAUUUCUUUAUUUUUAUAUUUAAAUCCGGUAUAUUACAUUACACCGCAACCUUACCGGAACCAUUCAAAUGGCUCUCCAACCAAAUGGACACUGUAACCUCAUGAUUUUUGAAGUCCGGUACCUUACAUCCUCCCCUCCUUAAAAAGAGUUUCGUCCGCGAAACUCAAACCACGCCUCAAUUCGGCUCCUUGAGCAAUUUAGGGCGCUAAUGCACUUUUCUAGUUCGGAAUGGCUUUACCGUCUUUGCAACUAUCCAAGAGGCCCAACACGGAGGGUACAAUACUCAACUCGUACAACUUUGCAAGGCGCAUCUCGCAAGGUGCAUUACGUUCUCCGUUAUUCUUGGUAGCAGCGCAAGUCGAGGCUCAACGGCUCUACGCGCUCCAACGCCAUUCGCUAACUGGCCCACUAAGGCCAAACCACCUCCCUCGAGACCGGGACUACCCGCUAUCCUCAUGGUGUGGAGCUAUCAAGAACGCACUAAUAGUCAUAUGGUCCACCACCACGACACAGCACACACGGGUAAGCCCUCUCGAAUCACCCGAAUGUCAACAAAGUGGCGCUCCGCCACUUUGGCUAUCCAAGAGUUCGUAUUUCUCAUUCACGACUCUUCAUCACUUUCACUAUCCCUCUAGGGGUCACACUCCAAUUCGAUCGCCAUUAUCGCCUAGAAGCAAUAUCAUUGGUGCAUCGACCCACCGCGAGUGCUCCAAUCUUCAACCAGACCCUUGCUCUACCGCGGGAUGGCACACUUCGGCACAUCUCCAACUCAGCCCUUAAAAGAGCAUUAUCCUCAAGCUCUAAUUCACUUAGGGGCAUCAACUUCAAUCCUCUACCUCUCGUGGCUUCCAAUAGCUCAAUGUCUCACGCGAGCAGUAUAUCCUCGAAUACCGUAUGCCACGAUCAUCGCCAACUCGUUCGUGCAACGAAUCUACAUGAACAUUCGUUCGUCAUUCUAGGCCACGCCCAUCACUGAGGCUACUCGCUCAACCACUUUUAUCAAAUCCAUACGGUGUCGGAACAGAUCUGCGCAUGUAGCAUCUUGGGGACAUUAGUUCCUGCAACGCAACAACCGGGUUAAUUAACUUAACCUACUAACUCGCUCGCGAUCACAACUACGCGACUCAAAGUCGCAAACUAGGCUGAAGCACAUAAGUGUACUGAUUCUAGACUCUCGGCGUCGUGUUGUCGACCGCCCAACACUACCACUUCGAGCCAAGAACUCAUACCACUUGAAUCCAUCUCUAGCCACGACUAGAGACAUACAAUCACUUCAACCAAAUCGAUCAACUCCCGCCACCGUAUAGGGCCACGUUCUACUCACGCACCUAUAACCUUACGGUUUCCUAACCUAAGGUCCUCUAGGUCAAUCCUAGACUCUCUCUCUUUACUUGCUCUUAACUUGCUCUGAUACCAUAACUGUCACGCCCCGCCCCGAGACCGCUACCAAUUUGGUCCGGUUCGGGCGCGCCGGACGGAUGCCGAACGGACAGCACCUCCCCUGUCCGCCCAAGGCUCAACACAGGAUCAUGUACAAAGAAUUUGCCCAGGGAUAAUUCAAUACAUACACGAUCCAACAAGGAGAGAAGCACAAAGAGUGCAAUACAACAAGAGCAAGUAACACAAGUAUACAUAGAAGUGCAUAAAGAGAGAUACAUCUAGCUAUUACAUCACAUUCCACUUUUACAUCUUUGAUUACAUUUAAGCUUCCAAAAUGAAUACAUAAUCAUCUCACAUAUAUCUAGUACAAUGUACUCUCCAAAAUACAACCACGUCACCUAUGUACACGAGGGUACUCUAGUACAAAAGGAAAGCCACAACUAGCUAGCUAGGGCGCUACCCCCUUACCGCGAUCCCCUGCCGGUCCGCUCUCGUGUGUACCUGUACCCCAAAACCACACGGGGUGAGAACUAUAUAAAUAUAGUUCCCAGUGGGUUCGGCCGCCGACUCCGCCGAUCUUCCCACUAGGUCUAAGCUGGCACAAAUAGAUAGAUAGAGAGAUAGAUAGAUAUUGAACUGCAACUAUGAUCUAUUGUGCCAUCAAAUGCAAGCAAUGCAUGAAAUACCAUCUAGCAACAAGCCUACUAUCAUGCUAGUAUACUUCAACAAUGUAAUGAAUACGAAUACAACAUAGUUAUGCAAUCCACUAACAUAUACUAUGUCUAAUCAGGGUAUGAAUGCAAAUCCACUUAUGCUAUUCAUGUCAUUACCCAAUCCACUAGGCUACCCUGCCUAAGAUAUCAAAUCUCAUAGGUACUCACACCACAAAUCUAGUAGGUGAAGAGGUGAAGAGCUACCCCGCUCUUCGCCCCGACUGAUAUCUCAAAUCUCAUAGGUGAGGAGCUACCCCGCUCUUAUCUCACCCGUCUCACAUCUCAAAGGUAAUAAAUGAAGAGCUACCCCGCUCUAAUCUCAUAGAUAUUGAGCUACCCCGCUCAAUCUCAUAGGGGAAAGGCUACCCCGCCCUUCGCCCCAACUCACGUCCCAGUCCAAUGAGUGAGGAGCUACCCCGCUCGUAUCCCACCCGAUGAGCUACCCCGCUCAUGAGCUACCCCGCUCGUGUGACAACUCCGGCAAUGGGUGAGGAGCUACCCCGCUCGUAUCCCACCCAGUGAGCUACCCCGCUCGUGAGCUACCCAGCUCGUGUGACAACUCCAGAGUGUACUGCUUGUGUGGAGCGACCACCACAAGCUCAAAACAGACUUGUGAGUAUGAUCCAAUCCUCGCCAACUGAGGAUACCCUGUCAACUAGGUUAACAAACACUCGAAAUCCACCUAUCCCUAGGUCCAUGUCAAGUGUCUCAACCACACUAAUCAACUCACACUAGGGAAUUGAACUAUCCCUAUGUUUGAUGCCAUAGUGUCUCAAGUACACUAAUUUUCAUGCAAUAUGCCAUGACUAGGCAAACUCACCUAUUCCCUAUGCUCAAUGCCACAAGUGUUUUUAUUACACUAAGUUCCAAUGCCACUAGUCAUGUUGUUAACUAACAUUGUUUACAUGCCACUCGUCUAAGUCAUAGUGUUUUCUAUACACUAGUUCGCAUGUCACUAGUUUUCAUCAUCAAGUCCGAGUUCACCGUUUUCUUAUCACUAUAGGAUCUCAUGUCACAAACCCUAAUCCUCAUGCAUUCUAGAUUUAAGUGUCAAGUCCAUAAUGCUACACAACUAGACAUGCAUGCAAGGAAAUAGAAAUGCAACUAUACAUACAUCCUAUAAUGCAUAAGAACCAUAUGUGCAAUAUGACCAAAAAUCUAACUCGGACAUAGAAGGAAGCCCGAUUGCUUCGGAUGGACACCCCCCACUUUUUAUCGCUAUCACGAGGCUAGGGUUCCGAUUUCGUGAUUUUUGGAAGCUUUCGCCGCGAGCUGCGGCAAUCUGUACCUUAACGGCUUCGUUCUUCAAUAUCUUCACGUAGCCUCGCCGUAUCGCCGAACCGACUUCGCCAACGCGUCAGAAUACCUAGCAAUUAGGUUUAUACAUGAUCAAUUUAGAUCAAAACCCCUCACAAGCAAAACCCCUCUUUUGAUGCCCUAAGAUGCAACUAUGCAAGAAUUCAUCAUUUGAUCUCUAAAUUCGAGCAUCAACCAUCUAUUUAGCAUCUAGGAGUUUCACUAAACCCAUUUCUAAGGCAUACAAAUCGCUACUUAGCAAGCUACCAUUGUUGCUAUCAAAGCUUACGUCUCAAACCCAAGCUUUCUUCAAGCCAAUGGUGAAGAAAAAGAAGGCUUCGCCUCUAAGCAAGCUUUUUCUUCUCCAAAUCCACCUCCAAUUCUCUUUGGUGGAGAAGUUGCUAGAGAGAGAGAGAGAGAUCUUUCUCUUUGGUUGUAAGUGUGAGGGAAGGAGAGAAAAGGCUCAAUCCUUCAUAUAUAUAUAUAUAUGCAUAUAGGAAACUUGACCUCCAAGUUUAUCCAAGAGUACUAUUCACAUUCAGGCAGCUCGAAAUCUGAUAUCUUUCGCCGGAGCCCUCUGAGUAUCCGUUUGAGCUCAAAUUUAACAGUCAUGUUCGGUUUAACGUACUGAACAAGAAUAUAUCUUAAGUUUUCAGUUUCGACCUCGUUUGGUCACUGAAAGCUACACCGAACUGUAAUCUUUAUCAGAUCGCUGUCGGAUUUUAUUUCUCACUCUACGGGUGUCAGAAAAAUAUGAAACCUUAAAUCUAGCCUCAUAAAAAUAUUUUUGACUUAUCCUCCAAUUUUCAUAAUUUUCUUAGACUGUGCAUUUUCUGCUAAUUUAUCUGUCCCGUUUCUCACAGAAAAUCCUAAAUCUUCUGUUUUCGCUCCGAUUUCAGCACAGGUCAUUCCCAACCUAUAUUUCACUUCUCUAAAUCUAAUAAAAAUAGUAUUUCAUACUAUUUUUAUUUAUUUUUAUUUUUAUAUCUAAAUCCGGUAUAUUACAUUACACUGCAACCUCACCGGAACCAUUUAAAUGUACACCGUAACUUCAUAUUUUUAGAAGUCCGGUACCUUACAACAGAAGUUCGGUACCUUACAAUGACUCUUUCUCUCAUUCUCUCCCUCACAUUACACUAAAAGGCUCUCUCUCUCUCUAGGAUCUCUCUCUCUCUCUCUCUCCCUCAAGAGGUGGAGCUAGGAGGAGGAUUUGGUGGGGAAGAAAGCCAAGGAGUGAAGCUACUCCUUCAUCUUCUCCAUUAGCUUGAGGAAAGGAAAGCUUUAGAGGUAAGCUUUGAGCUCUCUCAUGGUAGAGGACUAGAAUGAGAACCAAAUGGCCUAUAAAUGGUUUUGAUAGGAUCUCUAGAUGUAAAUAAGCUUACUUUUGCUUAUCUUAGAGAUCAAAACAAGAGUAGGGCUAUAUGUGAAAGUUAGAGCACCCAAAUUUAGGGCUUUUGUCAUGGUUGGUUCUAAAGGCAAAUUAACCUUAUACAAACUUAAUUGGGGGUAUUUCCGACGCGUUGGUGCGCUCGGUUCGGUGAUCCGACGAGUGUACGCAAAGAAAUUGACGAAAAUGUCGAUUUAGGUACAGAUUGCCGCAGUAUGCGAAAUAGGCAGCCAAAAAUCGUGAAACUUGAACCCUUGCACCUAAGUAACCAUACGAGGUGGGUGGUGCUCUUCAAACUCAUUGAAUUUUCUUUUAUGUCUAAAGUGUCGCUUAUUGAGCAUAUGUAUAUGAUGAGUUUCAUGCAUUGUAGGGUGAUUGAGAUUGCGUUUACAUGAGUUAUUGCAUGUUGUGAGUACAAAUGCAUUAUGAGAUAGUUGAGAACCUUUGAACCCUAUGCAUGCAUGAUUGGUGAUAAAAGAAGCUAAAUGAGGUAAAGAACCUUGUGACACUAUGACAUGUGAAUCGAGUGGCAUUAGUAAAUAUAAUAAAUGCUAGAGUUGAACUCAUAGUUGAGUGGCAUUAAAGACUAAAGAAUUGCUAGUGUACAAGUGUGGCACUAAUGAAUAUAUAUUGAAUGCUAGAGCAUGAAACACUAGAGUUAGUGUGUGGCAUUGUUGAGUAUUGAAUGUUAGAGACUGAGUAUAAGAACAUGUAGUGUAAAUGACACUAAUGGUAUUAGACGAUGCAAGUAUAUGAGCAAGUUGAUAUUAUGACAUAACAACCUUAUAGUUAAGGGUCAUAUGAGCAUUGCAACCUUAUAGUUAAAGGUCAUAUGAGCAUUGCAACCUUAUAGUUAAGGUUUGAUUGAACUUGGAAAUCCUUAUAGUUAAGGAUUUGAUCAUACUCACCUAUACGUCUUGGCUUAAGGGUGGUCGCGCCCCCUCGAGCGAUGAGCUCCGGAGUAGUCAUCACUGGGUCGUAGUAGUCUCCCCAGAGGACGGUCUCGUCGGGUCAUAGUAGUCUCCCCAAUACUUGGGAUUAUGAGUUGGUGAGUUGUGGGCAAACCUACGGGUUAGCCAAGAGAUUGGGUAAGUGAAUUGGGAUCUUGCAUUCAUCAUGAGUAAUUUAUUUGAGCAUCAUUAUUGAUUAUAUAUUGUUCAGGCAUAUUAGCUGCAUUGUAUAGCUUUGUUAUUAUCUACCUGUUUUCUUCUAUUAUGCCUGAUUUAGACCUGGUGGGAAAGUCGGCGAGGUUGGUGGUCGAACCCACUGGGAACUUUGUUGUAGUUCUCACCCCACAAUUUCCACAGAGCCGGGACCGAGUGAGCCGGCGGACGAUCGCGGUAAGGGUAUCGCACCGUAGACAGUGACCGCCUGAGUCGGUUUUAUUAUUUGCAUAGUCGCAUACCCUUAUGACUAGGGGUGGCAAUCCAGCUCGCUGUUUGCGAGCCAUCUCGUGUUCGGCUCGAAAUGAGCUCGAGAUCGGUUCACUCGUUUAGUAAAUGUGCCGAACACGAGCUGGAUUUUUCAGCUCGUUUAAUAAACGAUCCGAACACGAGCUAGGGUCAGCUCGCUCGUGUUCGGCUUGAUAACAGCUCGAUUAUAUUUAUUUUAUAUUAAUAUAUUUUUAUAUGUUAUAUAUAUAUAAUUAUAUUUGUAUAUGAAUAUAUAAUACUAAUUAUUAGUUUUAAAUUUUUAGCCCAAUUUUACAAAAAAGCUCAGCUUAUUUAUUUAUAAAAGAGGCCCAUAGGCCCAUUUAUAUUUAAAAUUUUAACCGUUGGAUUAAAAUCUAAUGGUUAAUAUUGCAUCAACCUUUUAAGUCCUUCUAUGAUUCUAUACCUAUUUCCUAACCCUAGUUUUCUUUUCACACAUGUUUUCACACUUCACACAGCCAUGGGCGGCGGCGGCGAUCACCACGGAGGCGGAGGCCACGGCCACGUGCAUGGCCAUGACGGAGAGGUAGGGGAUUUCAGGAAGAAGGUGUGGAGCAUGACGGGGGGGCCCUACUGCCGCCCCAAGCACUAGCGCCGUAAUACGUCGAUCGCCAUGGCCGGGAUCUUCCUCAUCUGCGUCCCCAUCACCAUGAAAUCUGCCGAGCUCGAGGUGUUUUUGCUCUAGUUUUUCUGUAGUUUUUGGUAUCAUCAGUGGGUUGUGGGGAUCAGGAUCGGGGUGGGUAAUCAAGGGGUUCGUUUGUAGUGUAUGAGUGGAAGAACGAUGAGAUUGAGUGGAUUUUUGAGUCAUUUUUUUGCAGAUUCGAUGUGAUUUAGCGUUUAAGGUUACGAGAAAAUGUAGAGAAAUAGGAGUAUUUAACCCUUUUUUUCUUCUAAUUAUUGAAAUAAUCACUAAUUCUCGUUCUCUCUCUCUCUCUCUCUCUCUCUCUCUCUCUCUCACGUAACCACACCGCACAGGCGCAGUGGGACACACCCUCGCAGGCCGCAGGCGGCAGCACCGUCGUUCGCAAACCCCCGGCAGCGGCAGUGAACUUCGACAACGGCGCUAACGAGCCGAGCUAACGAGCCGAACACGAGCUAGCUCGAUUAAGUUGCGAGCUGAUCACGAGCCGGAGUUCUCGAGCUCGUCACGAGCUCGAGCCAAACAUGAGCCGACCUUGAGACGUUCGAGUCGAGCUCGAGCUGGCUCCAGCUCGCUCGAGCUCGGCUCAUUUACAGCCCUACUUAUGACUAUAUAUGUAUCUUCUUUUGUCCUUGAAGAUGCAAUUGUAUAAAGAGAGUUAAAGUUGAAUGUAAGAAAUCUAUUUUGGUGAUUAUGUGAUGUAAAUGUACAAAUGUGAAAGCAAUGUAUGUGAUCAAAAGUCACCAUUAUACUUGUAUGGUUGUAUAGUUUAGAAUUCUUUCACUUUGGCUACUGCUUGUCCUCGUGCAAGCUAUUAUGUGUGUUUCCGCUUGUGCGUUCUCUUUGCUUGAAUUGUACAUGUGUUGAGCCUUGGGCGGACAGGGGAGGUGUUGUCCGUUCAGCAUUUGUUUGAUGUGCCCGAACCGACCAAAUAGGCCGCGCUUUGGUUGGCUCGGGGCGUGACAGAUAUAGUGGUAUCAGAGCCUAAAAGUGGAAGAAUAGGAAUGGACCUAGAGACCCUUAGGAUUGGAAAACUUUAAGGAUCUAGGAAACGUGAGUGACGUGGAAUCAAAGUUAGCGAAAGCAUGUGAUUGGGUUAAUGUUAGUAGGUCUCUAAUGUGGUUAGGGGCUAAAUUUAAGUUGAUGUUCGUUCUCUACUCCUUGUAUUGUGUUGGGCGGCCGACAACAUUAUACUUUGGAAUGAGGAAGAAUACGAUUGUUUGCUUUCGCCGGAUUGGGUAUGUAUGAGUUAUGUAAGCAUGUAGCUGAUGAAAAUUGCUACAUUUCGGGAAGUAAUGGCUCGUGGUGGACCUCGAACAAGGUCGAUACCGGAGGAGCCGAAUGCAACACCCGAGCGAUCCGGAGCAAGUGGCGACGGAGAGCUUUGGGAGCAAAUGUCCGCACUAAUUGGAGUAGUGCGACAACAAGUGGAAUCCGUUUAGCACCAGGGGGAGCAGAUUCAAAGGCUUCAAGAAGCCUUAGAGCGACAGCAGGCGGCAGCGGCUCAAGCGGGCUCCGAGCACCCUGUACCCCCUGCGGUGGUGCCGAGUGCGGCUGAUGAUGUCGUGGCGGCGGCGGUGCCAGUCACGGUGGUGACGGCUGGUUCAGAAACCUCAAAUCCCGAUAGUGCGGCGGCGGAGGCGAAGCGGGAGCGCGCGUUGGCAGUUCUCGUCACGUUUAUGAAGUUCAACCCACCUGUUUUUGAGGGGGAUAAGGUGGAGCCAUGGAUGGUGGAGUCGUGGAUUGACUCAAUCGAGAUGCUCUUCGAGGACAUUUAUGCCUUGGAGAAGGAUAAGGUGAACCUCGCUACUCAUUGCUUGGGAAAGGCGGCAAAGGUAUGGUGGAAGCGAGUAAAACGAGAUCAGUCUUCCAAUCUUCCACCUAUGCUUUGGGAGGAGUUCCGAAGGCUAAUAUUCGCGAACUACUUUCCCGAUACGGAAAAGCGGAAGUUGCAAUAGAAAUUCCGCAAGCUAAGGCAGGGUGAUCGAUUGGUGGGGGAAUCUGAGCAAGAGUUCUCUCACAUCAUCGAUUAUGUCCCUGAUGUGGUUCGUAAUGAUCGGGACCGGGUUGAUUGGUUCUUGUGAAGGCUUCAGCCGAGGAUCUAUGAGAAGGUGCAAAUCCUUAAACUCACGACCAUCACGGAGGUCCUGGAUAGAGCACUUUGGGCGGAGCACGGUAGUGCAUAUGCACGUGGAGAGCGCGAGUCGAUGGAUAAGGAAAGGGACAAAGGAAAGAAACGAGUGGCGGGUGGUGCCGAAGGCCGGCCAAAUGCUAAGAAACCCCCUCGGUAUCCCCGACGGCAGUCGAGGAGUUGGCGGCCUAUGCGGUGUGUUAUUUGCGGCGGUGAACACCGACCGUCGACUUGUCCGCAAGGCGGGGGGAAGUGUUUCAAGUGUGGUCAACCGGGACAUCUUAUCCGGGAGUGCCCGAGUUGGACAUCGUCGGCACCGACGGCAGCAUCAGUUCUGUCUUCCCCGAGGCAGCUUGCAGGGUUGCCACCAGCUAUGUCGGCUGGAUGCGUAUCAUCGCCACGUCAGCCGGAGGGAUCUAGAGUGCCAAGUGGAUGGGUUUUCGCCACUCAAGGAGCAGCUUGCAGUCCCUGAUGACGUUGUAGCAGGUAUUAUCUUGAUCAGAUGCACUAGAGCUAGAGCAUUAUUCGACACCGGUGCAUCUCAUUCAUUCAUUGGUGCACCAUUUGCGAAAAAUCAUGGUAUAGAGGUGUCUCAUUACGAGGAUUAUUGGUGGGUGAAUGCUCCAGAGCAUUCGUUCAGUGUUCAUGACGAGUGCUUGGCUUGUCCAAUUCAGAUAGGUGAUUGGAUUAUGCCGAUAGAUCUACUAGUGUUAGAUCGAAUGUGGGGCUUCGAUGUGAUCUUGGGGAUCAACUGGCUCUCCAAGUACUACGCGGUUACAGAUUGUGAAAAUAAGGUAAUCACUUUUCGUGAACCUAACCAAGAAGAGUUAGUGUAUCGGGCCUGUAAAAGCUCGCGCUUCGCGGCGACCGUGUCGGCGGCGAGGGCGAGAAAGAUGAUUAAAGGUAUAUGUGUGGCCUAUUUGGCGACCAUGGUAGAGACUCGAAGGGAGCACCCGGAACUUGGGAACAUUCGGGUAGUAUGUGAAUUUCCGGAUGCAUUUCCGACGGAGUUUCCGGGAUUGCCACUGGACCGGCAGGUCGAAUUCGUCAUUAAUUUGAUUCCCGGGGUGGCGCCAAUCUCGAAGGCUCCGUAUAGAAUGGCACCGACAGAGUUAGUAGAGUUGAAAGCUCAGUUGCAAGACUUGCUUGAUAAAGGCUUCGUGAGGCCGAGCAUGUCACUGUGGGGAGCUCCGGUGCUAUUUGUGAAAAAGAAGGAUGGUACACUUUUACUCUGCGUAGAUUAUCGCGAGUUGAACAAGGUGACGAUUAAGAACAAGUACCUGUUGCCGAGGAUUGAUGAUUUAUUCGAUCAAUUGCAAGGGUUGCGGGUGUAUUCGAAGAUUGAUCUUCAGUCGGGAUAUCAUCAGUUGAAGAUCCGGCCGAAGGAUGUGCACAAAACGGCGUAUCGUACGCGGUAUGGCCAUUAUGAGUUCACGGUAAUGCCGUUUGGGCUUACUAAUGCCCCGGCAACGUUUAUGAACUUGAUGAAUCGAGUCUUUCAACCAUUGUUGGACUAGUGCGUCGUGGUAUUCAUAGACGACAUGUUGGUGUAUUCGAAAAGUGAGGAGGAACACGAGGAGCAUUUGAGAACCGUGUUGUAAAUGCUCCGAAAAAAGAAGCUUUAUGCUAAGCUCAAAAAGUGCGAUUUUUGGCUAUCGGAGGUUACCUUCCUAAGCUAUGUGAUAUCCGGAGGCGGGGUCUCGGUAGACCCGAAGAAAGUUGAGGCAAUUAGGGAUUGGCCUCGCCUUACCAGUGUAACGGAAGUCCGCAGUUUUCUUGAACUCGCGGGGUACUAUCGGCCGUUCGUGGAGGGGUUCGCUAAGAUAACUACUCCACUAACGCGCCUCACGCAUAAAGGAGUGAGAUAUGUUUGGAGCGACGAUUGCGAUCGGAGCUUCGAGGAGUUAAAGGAAAGGUUGACAUCGACCUCGGUGCUUGCUUUGCCAACUCCGAGGGAGACCUUUGUGGUGUACAGUGAUGCUUCAUACAGUGGUCUCGGGUGUGUUUUGAUGCAGAAUGGCCGGGUGAUAGCUUACGCUUCAUGCCAAUUGAAGAGUUACAAAAAGAACUACCCGAUUCACGAUCUUGAGUUAGCCGCGGUGAUUUUCGCGCUAAAGUUAUGGAGGCAUUACUUGUAUGGUGAGCAUUGUGAGAUUUACACCGACUAUAAAAGUCUCAAGUACUUGUUCACCCAAAAGGAGUUGAAUAUGCGACAGCGGUGGUGGUUAGAGUUAUUAAAGGACUAUGAUAUCACUAUACUAUACCACCCGGAAAAAGCCAAUGUCGUGGCCGAUGCACUAAGUAGAAAAUUGGUGGAAAACUUAGCUGCGGCGAUCACGCCUCAACCGUUGUUGCAAAAAGAGAUGCAACGGUUAGGUUUGGAAGUAGUAGCUCCGGGAGUGCCGGCUACACUUGCCACAUUGGUUGUGCAACCGACCUUGUUGGAGAGGAUAAAAGAGCUACAAGCUUCCAAUGAGUAUCACCAAAAGGUACGCGGUGAAGUUGAUGGCGGUAGCACCGAUGAUUUUGGCAUUGGGACCGACGGCGUACUUCUAUUUCGGAGUCGUUUGUGUGUGCCUAAGAACGAGGACAUUUGAAGGGCGAUCAUGCAAGAAGCGCAUCAAUCUCUCUAUAGUAUACUGUAAGGAAGUGAAUUCUCGAAACUCGAGGAUUAGACUUCGACUAGAAUCGACUAUUCGUCGAGUGCGUAGGCUUCGGAAAGUCCGAAGGUGUUUAUAAUGCAUAAAGUGCAUUAAGGAAGGGUCCGCGAGAAACACCAGUGCAAAAAAUCUGCACUGGAGCAGAAUUUCUCUCGGGGACCGGUCCCUGGCAGGGAGGGACCGGUUCCNACCUUUGAGGAUUUUGGCUCGCGAAGUGAAGAAGCUUCGAAAUCGUGAUAUUCCGUAUGUAAAGGUCCUUUGGAGCAACCACGAUGAGCGGGAGGCUACGUGGGAGUUGAAGAGCAUGCUGCAGGAGCGCUAUCCCCAUCUUUUUCAGAUGGAGUCUUGAGCUACUUUGUUUUAUUUAGUUUCGCGGACGAAACUCCUUUUUAGGAGGGGUGAAUAUAACACACUAAACUUUCGCAAAUUGCACGGUUCGAGUGUUUAAUCUGUGUUCUGAGUUUUUUCAGGUAUUCUGGAGGGUCGUAGAUAGUGUUCCGACCUAUGGCUCACAUCCUGAGAAUCAAGGUUUAAAACUUAGCACUAAAAUCUCUAUAGUGAAGAUUUUAGGCUCCUCUCGAGUUCGGUUCUGCAAAGCAGAGUACCGUACCGCAUUGACCUAGUACCGGAACUAGAGGUUGUACCGGUACAACAUCGGGCUGAUACCGAUACCCAGUGCAUUUGCUCGCCAACCCGAGGCUCGGGUUUGCGCAGUCUGUAGCUUGGUAUUGGUACUCUUUCCCGCGUACCGGUACGCAGUGCAAUUCACAGACUGCUUAUUUUUUUUGGGCGUUUUUGUUAUUGUAGCAAUAUUACAAAUACCCCACGCCCCUUUGCUGGUCUCCUGAGCUUGGAAACACAGGAGAGAAGGUAGGGAAGCCCUCCACUUCCUCUCUUUGGUUUUCUUUGAUUUUGUUGGAAUUUUUGAGGAUUAAUCACCUCUUUUGCUUCCUUUUUGCUUCUUGGUGACUUUCCACCAUGGGGAGAAGGAUUGGAGCUUGGAUUGGAGCUUGUUGGAGGAGAGAUCUUCAACCCUAACUCAUUGCAAGCCUAGUUUGAAACUUCUAAAGAGAUUAGUAAUGUUUUGGUGGAUUUUUCUUGAUGAAAAUCUAGAAAUGGGAAAACUAGGGUUUAUUUGGGAAUUUUUGAUUUAGGGCUUUUGGAGCUCAAUUGAUUGGUUUACAACUUUCAUUUAGGUUGGAUUAGAAGGGCUCUAACUUCCAUUUGGAAUUUGAGAGGGUUUUUCUACAUUUUAGGUGAGUUUUGACCCUUUUCUUGGGUUGGUUAAAGAUGAACACUAUAGGUGUUCGUUUGUUUCGUCUAACCCUUUUAGAAUUUUCUUUAGGGAGCUAGGAGACUUAUGGGCACCUUCGUUCGUGCAAACGAAAGAGUUACAAGGAGCUCUUGGUGGGUUUGACCUCACCGAAAUGGGUGAACUCCCCCUAUACUUUAUUUUUUGUUGUAAAAUAAAAAUUCAUACAUAUUCAUGCUAGAUAGGGCAUAAAUAAAUUUUAGAAUGAUUAAAAUGCAUAUGUUAUGUAUCAUGAGAUUUCGUCUCUAUGUAGUAGAGAAAUAUGUGCAAAGUAUAUGGUAUUCUCAUGAUGUGUUGGAAUCAUGUUAUAUGUAGAUGAAUGACAUGCAAUUACUUGCUCAUGAACCAUGGACAUAUGCUAAAUGUAGUAGAAACGUAAUGUCAUUAAGUGACAUUGAACUUGGAGUAUGUAUAGACUUAGUAAGCUACAAUGUCAUAAAGGGAUAUUGAGCUUGGAAUAUGUUUGGGCUUGGUAAACUAUAAUGUCAUAAAGUGGCAUUAGAUUAAUAAAUGAUGGAACCGUUACAUUGUGACAUAGAGCUAGACCUUUGGGGUUGCUAGUAUUAUACCAUGUUGAGACAUGAUGAUCGAGUACUUGAGAUGAUGAUCACGUGUCACGCCCCGAGACCGCUGCCAAUUUUGUCCGGUUCAGGCGCGUCGAACAGACGCCGAACGGACAGCACCUCCCCUGUCCGUCCAAGGCCAAGCAACAUGAUCGAGUACAAGAAUUUGUCCAGGAAAUGAAAUUCUAUACAUACACAAUCAACGAAGGGCACAACAAGUGCCAACAACUAAGAGCAAGAGUCACAAGUGCAUACAAGUGAACAAAAGAGAGAUGUACCAGCUAUUACAUCACAUUGCAUUCAUUUACCUUAAUUUACAUUUACAUCUCUUCCAGAAUGGAUACAUGUUUAUUAGAUCAUCACCAAAAUACAUCAAUAGCUCUCCAAUCCUCACCUACAUAAGUCUCUCAAUACAUAGGAUAAUGCUAAUGCAAAAUGGAAAGCUACUAUGUACUACUGCUCGGGCGCGAUGCCCUUGCCGCGGUCCUCGCCCGGCGUACUCGUACUAGGCCCUGCGACAAAGUGGGGUGAAAACUAUUGUCCAUAAAAUGUCUUAAUGGCCUAUCACCAUGUCAUCAUGUCACGACCCGCGACCACCCGCCUAUUUGGCCGAGGUCGCGGCGCCGCCGACAUCGCCGAAUGGACAGGGUUUCCCCUGUACUGCGGACAGAGUCUCCCCUGUACAUUCAAGGCAACGCAAUCCAUACAAUACGAAGGUUCCAAUCAGGAACUGAUAUCAAUCAAGAUUNUUCGCUCCGAUUUCAGCACAGGUCUUUCCCAAUCAAUAUUUCACUUCUCUAAACCCAAUAAAAUAGUAUCUCAUACUAUUUUUUAUUUAUUUUCACUUUUAUAUUUAAAAUCCGGUAUGUUACAUUCCACCGCAACCGCACCGGAACCAUUUAAAUGUACACCGUGACUUCAUGAUUUGCGAUGU
Molecule: long non-coding RNA, 14644 nt
Filed under: Ananas comosus (pineapple)
Lineage: Eukaryota; Viridiplantae; Streptophyta; Magnoliopsida; Poales; Bromeliaceae
Description: long non-coding RNA (ACOM_LNC005539)
Source: RNAcentral